CGCGAUCGCCCCCUCUUCCCCUCCCUGUUAAAUACACAAAUAUAUUAUAUUCAAUAUGAAUCGAGUCUGUUUCCAGCAGAAAAAAAACAUACAAAAAAAAGUGGAAGGACUGGGCGCAGGGUAGGAGGGCCGGAGUCCAGUGUGGUUUGCGGCGCCCCUAGGUCCCAGGGUGGGUGCCCACCGCCUGCUCCCUGGACCCCAGUGGGAGGCGUGUCCCUUGACCCCAAGCAGCAGCUGACAGCCGUUGCUGACGUGGGUCAUGACCUUCUGUUUGAGCUGGGCCACCUGCUCCCGGAGGAGGCCGG
RNAcentral lists this long non-coding RNA (305 nucleotides) under Homo sapiens (human). RNAcentral's name for it is "HSALNT0256017". The record is from RNAcentral. Lineage: Eukaryota; Metazoa; Chordata; Mammalia; Primates; Hominidae.